This 253-nucleotide ribosomal RNA is filed under the name uncultured bacterium. RNAcentral's name for it is "partial 16S ribosomal RNA". It matches the Rfam family "Bacterial small subunit ribosomal RNA", at positions 524 to 776 of the family's 1533-position model. The record is from RNAcentral.
UACAGAGGUCUCAAGCGUUGUUCGGAUUCAUUGGGCGUAAAGGGUGCGUAGGUGGCGCCGUAAGUCAGGUGUGAAAUUUCGGAGCUCAACUCCGAAACUGCAUUUGAUACUGCGGUGCUUGAGGACUGGAGAGGAGACUGGAGUUCACGGUGUAGCAGUGAAAUGCGUAGAUAUCAAGAGGAACACCAGUGGCGAAGGCGAGUCCCUGGACGAUACCUGACACUGAGGCACGAAAGCUAGGGGAGCAAACAGG